CUGGAUUUCAGCUUCUCUCUAACGGACUGUCUAGUCCCCACUGCAAACUGCAGACAGUAAGACUUGCUGAAUGUACUCUCACAGAUAAGUCCUGUGGAAUUGUGGCUACAGUUCUUCAGUCACCAAACUCUCUGACAGAGCUGGAUCUGUGUAACAAUGACCUGGGAGAUUCUGGAAUUCAGCUUCUCUCUAACGGACUGUCUAGUCCUCACUGCAAACUGCAGACAUUAAGGUUGGUGUUAUACAUGUCCUUAUUGUCAUGAAUUUUUGGAUUAUUUCUGUAGCCCUUAACUAUGAUUUAUAUUAGUAGUACGCUGGAAACUGUGAGGACAACUCAGCACCACUUUUAUUUUCCUCUACCCUUUCAUUUCUAUUGAUUUCUCAGGACACUUUGUGAACAGCAUCACCUUUCAUUUUAAAGUAAUAUUUAGUCUUUUAUUAUGCUGUUAUACAGACUUUCUGAAUGCACACUAUUAGAUAAAUCCUGUUUCCUCCUACCCCUUCAACUCCUAAAAUGGAGGAUGAUAGAUCUAUGGGAACUGAUGCAUUUUCAGUUUAGUCAGGACCACUCUCAUCUAGUAACAAUUUACAAGUAAUUAGAGUAUUGAGAGGAUACAUCA
Long non-coding RNA from Clupea harengus (Atlantic herring), 620 nucleotides. RefSeq lists it as uncharacterized. The record is from RefSeq and is a predicted model, not a curated record. The transcript is spliced from 2 exons. NCBI's taxonomy places the organism in Eukaryota, Metazoa, Chordata, Actinopteri, Clupeiformes, Clupeidae.